GCCGAUGUGGAGAAAUUGGUAAACUCAGUUGAUUCAAAAUCAACCGCUUCACGGCUUGCCGGUUCGAGUCCGGCCAUCGGUACCA
RNAcentral lists this transfer RNA (85 nucleotides) under Sulfurimonas hongkongensis. RNAcentral's name for it is "tRNA-Leu". It matches the Rfam family "tRNA". From Rfam's summary of the family: Transfer RNA (tRNA) molecules are approximately 80 nucleotides in length. Their secondary structure includes four short double-helical elements and three loops (D, anti-codon, and T loops). Further hydrogen bonds mediate the characteristic L-shaped molecular structure. tRNAs have two regions of fundamental functional importance: the anti-codon, which is responsible for specific mRNA codon recognition, and the 3' end, to which the tRNAs corresponding amino acid is attached (by aminoacyl-tRNA synthetases). tRNAs cope with the degeneracy of the genetic code in two manners: having more than one tRNA (with a specific anti-codon) for a particular amino acid; and 'wobble' base-pairing, i.e. permitting non-standard base-pairing at the 3rd anti-codon position. The record is from RNAcentral. Lineage: Bacteria; Pseudomonadati; Campylobacterota; Epsilonproteobacteria; Campylobacterales; Sulfurimonadaceae.